AUAUUGGACAAUGGGCGCAAGCCUGAUCCAGCCAUGCCGCGUGAGUGAUGAAGGCCUUAGGGUUGUAAAGCUCUUUCGCCAGGGACGAUAAUGACGGUACCUGGAUAAGAAGCCCCGGCUAACUUCGUGCCAGCAGCCGCGGUAAUACGAAGGGGGCUAGCGUUGUUCGGAAUCACUGGGCGUAAAGCGCACGUAGGCGGAUCUUUAAGUCAGGGGUGAAAUCCCGAGGCUCAACCUCGGAACUGCCUUUGAUACUGGGGAUCUCGAGUCCGGGAGAGGUGAGUGGAACUGCGAGUGUAGAGGUGAAAUUCGUAGAUAUUCGCAAGAACACCAGUGGCGAAGGCGGCUCACUGGCCCGGAACUGACGCUGAGGUGCGAAAGCGUGGGGAGCAAACAGG
Molecule: ribosomal RNA, 398 nt
Filed under: uncultured bacterium
Lineage: Bacteria
Description: bacterial SSU rRNA
Rfam family: Bacterial small subunit ribosomal RNA
Source: RNAcentral